UCAGAACUGAUCUGCUGAAACUCAACUAAGCCAUCUGCUAGCCACUGCCUGGCCUGCCUGCCCACCCUGGCCUGUCUCCAUCUACUCAUUUCUCCGUUACUGCCCACCUUCUGGGCAGGCACACAAAUAGUGUCUAUAUGACCACGCAUGCACACACCCCACCCACUUCCGACCCUAGACAGAUGUUCUCCCACCUGCCCAAACGCUUCUGUCUUUGUCCAGUCUUCCUCGCAGUGACCUAUGACUGCUGCUCUGGUUUCUUCCUGUUUCUGUGGUCUCCCAUGCAUCUCCCUUUUCUCUCUGCCUCAGUUAUAUGUUGGGUUUUGUCCCUGUCUCCUCCUCCCCCCUCUCGUGGCUGCCUGUUUCUUAGCUUCUCAGUGGCUAGGCUGUUGGUGUCUCUGCACUUGGGUCCCUCAUCCCCUACACUUGGGGAUCAAAUUUACUGGUACAUGAAGGGAGUGAACUUACACAGUGGAAGAGCCCAAGCAAGGGUGGGUUUGAGCAGGAUAGUAUAGAGGGGUAACAGGACAUGGGGGGAGGAGGUCAGGAGAACCCAACCAUAGGGUUUUCUUUCAUCAUAGGAUUGGAUUGCUGCCUACUAAGCUGUGACAUGAUUGAGAGGCAGGC
This 627-nucleotide long non-coding RNA is filed under the name Rattus norvegicus (Norway rat). RNAcentral describes it as "long non-coding RNA NONRATT000716". The record is from RNAcentral. Lineage: Eukaryota; Metazoa; Chordata; Mammalia; Rodentia; Muridae.